Molecule: ribosomal RNA, 376 nt
Filed under: uncultured organism
Description: partial 16S ribosomal RNA
Rfam family: Bacterial small subunit ribosomal RNA
Source: RNAcentral
GUAGGUGGCAAGCGUUGUCCGGAAUUAUUGGGGCGUAAAGCGCGCGCAGGCGGUUCUUUAAGUCUGAUGUGAAAGCCCACGGGCUCAACCGUGGGAGGGUCAUUGGAAACUGGAGAACUUGAGUACAGAAGAGGAAAGCGGAAUUCCACGUGUAGCGGUGAAAUGCGUAGAGAUGUGGAGGAACACCAGUGGCGAAGGCGGCUUUCUGGUCUGUAACUGACGCUGAGGCGCGAAAGCGUGGGGAGCAAACAGGAUUAGAUACCCUGGUAGUCCACGCCGUAAACGAUGAGUGCUAAGUGUUAGGGGGUUUCCGCCCCUUAGUGCUGCAGCUAACGCAUUAAGCACUCCGCCUGGGGAGUACAGCCGCAAAGGCUGA